This 378-nucleotide ribosomal RNA is filed under the name Frankia sp. RNAcentral's name for it is "bacterial SSU rRNA". It matches the Rfam family "Bacterial small subunit ribosomal RNA", at positions 28 to 416 of the family's 1533-position model. The record is from RNAcentral. Lineage: Bacteria; Bacillati; Actinomycetota; Actinomycetes; Frankiales; Frankiaceae.
GACGAACGCUGGCGGCGUGCUUAACACAUGCAAGUCGAGCGAGGGGCUUCGGCUCCUAGCGGCGAACGGGUGAGUAACACGUGGGCAACCUGCCUCGAGCUCUGGAAUAACCUCGGGAAACCGGGGCUAAUGCCGGAUAUGACGCUACCGGGCAUCUGGUGGUGUGGAAAGAUUUAUCGGCUCGAGAUGGGCCCGCGGCCUAUCAGCUUGUUGGUGGGGUGAUGGCCUACCAAGGCGACGACGGGUAGCCGGCCUGAGAGGGCGACCGGCCACACUGGGACUGAGACACGGCCCAGACUCCUACGGGAGGCAGCAGUGGGGAAUAUUGCGCAAUGGGCGGAAGCCUGACGCAGCGACGCCGCGUGGGGGAUGACGGCC